Non-coding RNA from Camellia sinensis, 1535 nucleotides. The record is from RefSeq and is a predicted model, not a curated record. NCBI's taxonomy places the organism in Eukaryota, Viridiplantae, Streptophyta, Magnoliopsida, Ericales, Theaceae.
UAUGGGCGAAGAUGUAGAACUCCAGUAUGUUGGGAUGAGGUUGGAGAGAGAAAAUUGUUAGGGCCAGAGAUUGUUCAAAUUACUACCAAUAAAGUGCAUAUUAUUCGAGAAAGGUUGAAGGCGGCUCAAAGUAGACAAAAGAGCUAUGCAGAUAAUCGAAGGAGAGAUUUGGAAUUUCAAGUGGGAGAUCAUGUAUUUUUACGAAUCUCGCCAUGGAAGGGAGUGAUGCGAUUUGGUAAGAAAGGCAAACUAAGUCCAAGGUAUAUUGGGCCAUUUGAGAUAUUAGAGCGCAUUGGCAAGACUGCUUAUCGUUUGGCCUUACCACCUAGUCUAUCUCGCAUUCACAAUGUGUUUCAUGUAUCCACAUUGAAGAAGUACAUGCCUGACCCAUCACACGUGUUAGAUUUCCAACCAAUCCAACUCAAGGAUGAUUUGUCUUAUGAAGAGGAAGCCAUAGAGAUUGUGGACAUGAAGGAUCAAGUACUACGUUCCAAGACCAUACCACUAGUAAAGGUAUUGUGGAAAAAUCAUGCUUUGGAGGAAGCUACUUGGGAGCGGGAGGAUAAUAUGAAAAUUCGAUAUCCACAUCUUUUUCAAGGUAUGAACUAGACUAAACAAACGAAUAAAUUUCGUGGACGAAAUUUUCCUUUAGGGGGGUAGAAUUAUAAUAUUCCCAACUUUUCAUCUAGAGCCAAACACACUCCUAUGUUAAACUCCAUUUAGGAUAUCUAAACCCAACUCCAAACUUGAUGGUAGGUGUAACCAAACACCCCAUUUCAACACAAAAAAAAAUUAGAAGUGCAGAUUUUUUUUCUUCAUUCUUCAUUCUCUAACUUCUCUCUACUUUCUCUCUCAUUUUCCUUUACUUUCUUGGAGGCCAAACACCACACCUUUGCUCCACCCUUACACCACCACCUUGACCCACCAUCUCCACCACCUCCGGCCACCUUAUCUCGCCGGAAAAUGGGUCCGGUCGGCACUCCUUGAAUCCAUCCGAAAAUAACACAAUAGAAGCACAAACUCUAGAUUUUUCUUAAUCUUUUGAAGAAUCAAAGCAUGGGAUUUAUUUUCUUGAUGGAUUAGAGGCUUGUACUUGGAUUGGAGGAAGGCAUCUCUCCACCUCUUGGAAAUUAAUUUGUCGAGUUUCAAAUCUACACUUUUGCUAUUUUUGGAGAUUCAUAGACUUUUGUGUGGCUCGCCUCAACUUGGAAGACUAGAAUUUUUUUGAAGGAUCACAGGUGGGCAUCUUGUGGUUGAGGUUUUGCUUAGGGUCAUUCUAGGAUGUAAGCUUACCCUUUUUUUUUAUGAAGGAGGUUGAUUGUAAAUAUUGCUUAUGAAGUUGGAUGUAUUGAUGGAUUCGUGAUUAGUAUGUAUUAUAUUUUUUUUGGGAGGAAAUGCUUGGGAACUAUCUUGUAGCAUGAUAAUACUUUUUUUGUCUUUGAAUAGAUCAUCUCAUAUAUGUUAGGCAAUUGAAAGGUGCUAUAGCGUUUGAGGUGCACCCUCUUGGCAGGGUUUUGCCUUGCCAAGAUUGGGUC